AGGAUAAACGCUGGCGGCGUGCCUAACACAUGCAAGUCGAACGCCCUACGCAAGUAGGGAGUGGCGGACGGGUGAGGAACACGUGGGUUAUCUGCCUUUCGGUGAGGAAUACCAGCGAGAAAUCGCUGACAAUACCGCAUACGGUUCUUUCGAGAGGAAGAACGAAAGUCGUAAGACGCCGGGAGAUGAGCCUGCGCCCGAUUAGUUUGUUGGUGGGGUAAAAGCCUACCAAGACUGCAAUCGGUAGCUGGUCUGAGAGGACGAUCAGCCACACUGGGAUUGGGAACGGCCCAGACUCCGUACGGGGGGCAGCAGUGAGGAAUUUUCGUCAAUGGGGGAAACCCUGAACGAGCAACGCCGCGUGCAGGAAGAAGGUUUUCGGAUCGUAAACUGUCUUUUCUGUGGGAAGAGGAACGGACGGUACCACAGGAAGAACGCCCCGGCUAACUACGUGCCAGCAGCCGC
Molecule: ribosomal RNA, 465 nt
Filed under: uncultured bacterium
Lineage: Bacteria
Description: SSU rRNA
Rfam family: Bacterial small subunit ribosomal RNA
Source: RNAcentral